RNAcentral lists this ribosomal RNA (459 nucleotides) under uncultured bacterium. RNAcentral describes it as "partial 16S ribosomal RNA". It matches the Rfam family "Bacterial small subunit ribosomal RNA", at positions 338 to 795 of the family's 1533-position model. The record is from RNAcentral.
CCUACGGGAGGCAGCAGUGAGGAAUAUUGGUCAAUGGUCGGGAGACUGAACCAGCCAAGCCGCGUGAGGGAUGAAGGUACAGAGUAUCGUAAACCUCUUUUGUCAGGGAACAAAGGCGGGGACGUGUCCCCGGAUGAGUGUACCUGAAGAAAAAGCAUCGGCUAACUCCGUGCCAGCAGCCGCGGUAAUACGGGGGAUGCGAGCGUUAUCCGGAUUUAUUGGGUUUAAAGGGUGCGCAGGCGGUCUGUUCAGUCGGCGGUCAAAGCCCGGGGCUCAACCCCGGCCCGCCGUUGAAACUGGCAGUCGCGAGUUGGAGAGAAGGAUGCGGAAUGCGCGGUGUAGCGGUGAAAUGCAUAGAUAUCGCGCAGAACUCCGAUUGCGAAGGCAGCAUGCCGGCUCCACACUGACGCUGAGGCACGAAAGCGUGGGUAUCGAACAGGAUUAGAUACCCGAGUAGUC